RNAcentral lists this ribosomal RNA (301 nucleotides) under uncultured bacterium. RNAcentral's name for it is "partial 16S ribosomal RNA". It matches the Rfam family "Bacterial small subunit ribosomal RNA", at positions 509 to 807 of the family's 1533-position model. The record is from RNAcentral.
CAGUCGCCGCGGGAACACGUAGGUGGCAAGCGUUGUCCGGAAUUAUUGGGCGUAAAGGGCUCGCAGGCGGUUUCUUAAGUCUGAUGUGAAAGCCCCCGGCUCAACCGGGGAGGGUCAUUGGAAACUGGGAAACUUGAGUGCAGAAGAGGAGAGUGGAAUUCCACGUGUAGCGGUGAAAUGCGUAGAGAUGUGGAGGAACACCAGUGGCGAAGGCGACUCUCUGGUCUGUAACUGACGCUGAGGAGCGAAAGCGUGGGGAGCGAACAGGAUUAGAUACCCCCGUAGUCCCUGUCUCUUAUAC